This 548-nucleotide ribosomal RNA is filed under the name uncultured Glomeromycotina. RNAcentral's name for it is "SSU rRNA". It matches the Rfam family "Eukaryotic small subunit ribosomal RNA", at positions 548 to 1098 of the family's 1831-position model. The record is from RNAcentral. Lineage: Eukaryota; Fungi; Glomeromycota.
UUGGAGGGCAAGUCUGGUGCCAGCAGCCGCGGUAAUUCCAGCUCCAAUAGCAUAUAUUAAAGUUGCUGCAGUUAAAAAGCUCGUAGUUGAAUUUCGGGACCAUCAUGUUGGUCGUGCCUCGGUACGUACUGGCAUUGUUGGUUUCUCCCUUCUGACGAACCAUGAUGUCAUUUAUUUGGUGUUGUGGGAAAUCAGGACUGUUACUUUGAAAAAAUUAGAGUGUUUAAAGCAGGCUCACGCUUGAAUACAUUAGCAUGGAAUAAUGAAAUAGGACGUUUGAUUCUAUUUUGUUGGUUUCUAGGAUCGAUGUAAUGAUUAAUAGGGAUAGUUGGGGGCAUUAGUAUUCAAUUGUCAGAGGUGAAAUUCUUGGAUUUAUUGAAGACUAACUACUGCGAAAGCAUUUGCCAAGGAUGUUUUCAUUAAUCAAGAACGAAAGUUAGGGGAUCGAAGACGAUCAGAUACCGUCGUAGUCUUAACCAUAAACUAUGCCGACUAGGGAUCGGAUGAUGUUAAUUUUUUAAUGACUCAUUCGGCGCCUUACGGGAAAC